RNAcentral lists this ribosomal RNA (496 nucleotides) under uncultured bacterium. RNAcentral's name for it is "partial 16S ribosomal RNA". It matches the Rfam family "Bacterial small subunit ribosomal RNA", at positions 29 to 507 of the family's 1533-position model. The record is from RNAcentral.
AUGAACGCUGGCGGCGUGCCUAAUACAUGCCAGUCGCGCGAACAGACGAGGAGCUUGCUCCUCUGACGUUAGCGGCGGACGGGUGAGUAACACGUGGAUAACCUACCUAUAAGACUGGGAUAACUUCGGGAAACCGGAGCUAAUACCGGAUAAUAUAUUGAACCGCGUGGUUCAAUAGUGAAAGACGGUUUUGCUGUCACUUAUAGAUGGAUCCGCGCCGCAUUAGCUAGUUGGUAAGGUAACGGCUUACCAAGGCAACGAUGCGUAGCCGACCUGAGAGGGUGAUCGGCCACACUGGAACUGAGACACGGUCCAGACUCCUACGGGAGGCAGCAGUAGGGAAUCUUCCGCAAUGGGCGAAAGCUUGACGGAGCAACGCCGCGUGAGUGAUGAAGGUCUUCGGAUCGUAAAACUCUGUUAUUAGGGAAGAACAAAUGUGUAAGUAACUAUGCACGUCUUGACGGUACCUAAUCAGAAAGCCACGGCUAACUACGUG